AUCUUGACCUCAGAUCAGGCAAGGCUACCCGCUGAAUUUAAGCAUAUUAAUAAGCGGAGGAAAAGAAACUAACAAGGAUUCCCUCAGUAACAGCGAGUGAAGCGGGAACAGCUCAAAUUUGAAAUCUCCGACGCUUGCGUCGGCGAGUUGUAGUUGCGAGAAGCACUUUCUAGGCGGAUCGGUGGUGCCUAAGUUGCUUGGAACAGUGCGUCAUAGAGGGUGACAACCCCGU
This 232-nucleotide ribosomal RNA is filed under the name Goniopora albiconus. RNAcentral's name for it is "partial 28S rRNA". It matches the Rfam family "Eukaryotic large subunit ribosomal RNA", at positions 1 to 224 of the family's 3401-position model. Lineage: Eukaryota; Metazoa; Cnidaria; Anthozoa; Scleractinia; Poritidae. The record is from RNAcentral.